UGGGGAAUAUUGCACAAUGGGCGCAAGCCUGAUGCAGCCAUGCCGCGUGUAUGAAGAAGGCCUUCGGGUUGUAAAGUACUUUCAGCGGGGAGGAAGGGAGUAAAGUUAAUACCUUUGCUCAUUGACGUUACCCGCAGAAGAAGCACCGGCUAACUCCGUGCCAGCAGCCGCGGUAAUACGGAGGGUGCAAGCGUUAAUCGGAAUUACUGGGCGUAAAGCGCACGCAGGCGGUUUGUUAAGUCAGAUGUGAAAUCCCCGGGCUCAACCUGGGAACUGCAUCUGAUACUGGCAAGCUUGAGUCUCGUAGAGGGGGGUAGAAUUCCAGGUGUAGCGGUGAAAUGCGUAGAGAUCUGGGGAAUACCGGUGGCGAAGGCGGCCCCCUGGACGAAGACUGACGCUCAGGUGCGAAAGCGUGGGGAGCAAACAGG
This 428-nucleotide ribosomal RNA is filed under the name Chloroflexota bacterium. RNAcentral describes it as "Chloroflexi bacterium partial 16S ribosomal RNA". It matches the Rfam family "Bacterial small subunit ribosomal RNA", at positions 355 to 776 of the family's 1533-position model. The record is from RNAcentral. Lineage: Bacteria; Bacillati; Chloroflexota.